This 1561-nucleotide ribosomal RNA is filed under the name Salmonella enterica subsp. enterica serovar Enteritidis. RNAcentral's name for it is "partial 23S ribosomal RNA". It matches the Rfam family "Bacterial large subunit ribosomal RNA", at positions 1292 to 2832 of the family's 2925-position model. The record is from RNAcentral. Lineage: Bacteria; Pseudomonadati; Pseudomonadota; Gammaproteobacteria; Enterobacterales; Enterobacteriaceae.
GAAUGCUGACAUAAGUAACGAUAAAGCGGGUGAAAAGCCCGCUCGCCGGAAGACCAAGGGUUCCUGUCCAACGUUAAUCGGGGCAGGGUGAGUCGACCCCUAAGGCGAGGCCGAAAGGCGUAGUCGAUGGGAAACGGGUUAAUAUUCCCGUACUUGGUGUUACUGCGAAGGGGGGACGGAGAAGGCUAUGUUGGCCGGGCGACGGUUGUCCCGGUUUAAGCGUGUAGGUGUGUGUUCCAGGUAAAUCCGGUUCACUUUAACACUGAGGCGUGACGACGAGGCACUACGGUGCUGAAGCAACAAAUGCCCUGCUUCCAGGAAAAGCCUCUAAGCAUCAGGUAACAUCAAAUCGUACCCCAAACCGACACAGGUGGUCAGGUAGAGAAUACCAAGGCGCUUGAGAGAACUCGGGUGAAGGAACUAGGCAAAAUGGUGCCGUAACUUCGGGAGAAGGCACGCUGACACGUAGGUGAAGUGAUUUACUCAUGGAGCUGAAGUCAGUCGAAGAUACCAGCUGGCUGCAACUGUUUAUUAAAAACACAGCACUGUGCAAACACGAAAGUGGACGUAUACGGUGUGACGCCUGCCCGGUGCCGGAAGGUUAAUUGAUGGGGUCAGCGCAAGCGAAGCUCCUGAUCGAAGCCCCGGUAAACGGCGGCCGUAACUAUAACGGUCCUAAGGUAGCGAAAUUCCUUGUCGGGUAAGUUCCGACCUGCACGAAUGGCGUAAUGAUGGCCAGGCUGUCUCCACCCGAGACUCAGUGAAAUUGAACUCGCUGUGAAGAUGCAGUGUACCCGCGGCAAGACGGAAAGACCCCGUGAACCUUUACUAUAGCUUGACACUGAACAUUGAGCCUUGAUGUGUAGGAUAGGUGGGAGGCUUUGAAGUGUGGACGCCAGUCUGCAUGGAGCCGACCUUGAAAUACCACCCUUUAAUGUUUGAUGUUCUAACGUGGACCCGUUACCCGGGUUGCGGACAGUGUCUGGUGGGUAGUUUGACUGGGGCGGUCUCCUCCUAAAGAGUAACGGAGGAGCACGAAGGUUGGCUAAUCCUGGUCGGACAUCAGGAGGUUAGUGCAAUGGCAUAAGCCAGCUUGACUGCGAGCGUGACGGCGCGAGCAGGUGCGAAAGCAGGUCAUAGUGAUCCGGUGGUUCUGAAUGGAAGGGCCAUCGCUCAACGGAUAAAAGGUACUCCGGGGAUAACAGGCUGAUACCGCCCAAGAGUUCAUAUCGACGGCGGUGUUUGGCACCUCGAUGUCGGCUCAUCACAUCCUGGGGCUGAAGUAGGUCCCAAGGGUAUGGCUGUUCGCCAUUUAAAGUGGUACGCGAGCUGGGUUUAGAACGUCGUGAGACAGUUCGGUCCCUAUCUGCCGUGGGCGCUGGAGAACUGAGGGGGGCUGCUCCUAGUACGAGAGGACCGGAGUGGACGCAUCACUGGUGUUCGGGUUGUCAUGCCAAUGGCACUGCCCGGUAGCUAAAUGCGGAAGAGAUAAGUGCUGAAAGCAUCUAAGCACGAAACUUGCCCCGAGAUGAGUUCUCCCUGAGACUUAAAGUCUCCUGAA